RNAcentral lists this long non-coding RNA (277 nucleotides) under Hordeum vulgare. RNAcentral describes it as "long non-coding RNA (HVUL_LNC021099)". The record is from RNAcentral. Lineage: Eukaryota; Viridiplantae; Streptophyta; Magnoliopsida; Poales; Poaceae.
GGGCAGGGCGUGCCGCGGGUGGCACAUGCGCCUUGCGUUGGGAGUCGACGAGGACGACGCCGCAGGUGGGCAAUAUGGGAAGGAGGCCGAGGACCAUCGCCGGCGCUGGGCGCCGCCGGCCAAAGGGCGUUGCUCUAUAGGGAGCCGCAUCCCGUUGUACGCCAAGGCGAUGCCGAGUGCUGUUGCUGGCAAUGGGCUCGAGCACGGGAAGGGCCUCGCCGGGGAAAGACUUGCUUCGUGGAUUCCUGUUGAUGGUAAAACAAAUAUUUUAUAGUCA